CCCGAGACUAGAGUCACAUCCUGACAUCUCUUGUCCUGGUGUGCUAGAGUUCUCGGAGAGAAUCUGCUGGUCUUGAUUCACUGGCAAGGGCAAUCAAUGCCCUUGUUAGUGCCCAGGUCAGAAACAUGA
Talpa occidentalis (Iberian mole) is the source of this 129-nucleotide small nucleolar RNA. RefSeq annotates it as small nucleolar RNA SNORA3/SNORA45 family. The transcript has a single exon. Lineage: Eukaryota; Metazoa; Chordata; Mammalia; Eulipotyphla; Talpidae. The record is from RefSeq and is a predicted model, not a curated record.